RNAcentral lists this ribosomal RNA (584 nucleotides) under uncultured bacterium. Its description in RNAcentral is "partial 16S ribosomal RNA". It matches the Rfam family "Bacterial small subunit ribosomal RNA", at positions 355 to 1375 of the family's 1533-position model. The record is from RNAcentral.
UGGGGAAUUUUGGACAAUGGGCGAAAGCCUGAUCCAGCAAUGCCGCGUGUGUGAAGAAGGCCUUCGGGUUGUAAAGCACUUUUGUCCGGAAAGAAAUCCUUGGCUCUAAUACAGUCGGGGGAUGACGGUACCGGAAGAAUAAGCACCGGCUAACUACGUGCCAGCAGCCGCGGUAAUACGUAGGGUGCAAGCGUUAAUCGGAUUACUGGGCGUAAAGCGUGCGCAGGCGGUUUGCUAAGACCGAUGUGAAAUCCCCGGGCUCAACCUGGGAACUGCAUUGGUGACUGGCAGGCUAGAGUAUGGCAGAGGGGGGUAGAAUUCCACGUGUAGCAGUGAAAUGCGUAGAGAUGUGGAGGAAUACCGAUGGCGAAGGCAGCCCCCUGGGCCAAUACUGACGCUCAUGCACGAAAGCGUGGGGAGCAAACAGGAUUAGAUACCCUGGUAGUCCACGCCCUAAACGAUGUCAACUAGUUGUUGGGGAUUCAUUUCCUUAGUAACGUAGCUAACGCGUGAAGUUGACCGCCUGGGGAGUACGGUCGCAAGAUUAAAACUCAAAUGAAUUGACGGGGUCAUAGCUGUUUCCU